CAUAUAUCAACACACACAAUCAUACAAAUGGUCAAAAACUGUUUAUUGUUAGAUGCUGCAGCAGCACGGCUCAUCUAUCAUUCAUGCCAAUAGAGCACAGUGAAUUGAAGUGAAAUUAAGAGAAAUAGCAAGGGAGCAAAGGAAAAGGAAAAACAGAACAAAUCUGACUUGGCUUUGAUUGAAUCCUGCACAGACAGUGGCCAGAUACACCUGGGUUCCUCUGUUCAUCUGAAUCCAGAUAUUACCCCUGAAUAUAAAACAUCAGAAGCUUGACAAGCUGCCUCCAGUGUUUCUGAGAUAAGGUGGUGUUUCUUCAGAGGCAGAUCAGAUUUUUUUUCCCCUUUCUUUUUCUUUUUUGUAUUUCACAAAGGUGCCGCUUUUUUUUUUUUUCCAGAGCUAGGUUGCCAUCUCAUGCGAUUACAUGUGGAGGGAAGAAAAGUACGCACAGAAACACAUGCAAAAAGCAUUCACUGAAACAAGCAAAUCAUUUGAAAUGAAUGUCCCCUUCACUCUGCCCAGAUCAAAAGCAUCUUAGGUAACUGGUAAAAGUUCUUCUGUAGCACGGCAGUCUCAAUCUGGAAAAAAAAAUGUUUCCAUCACUACAAAAUGAAUGUUGACAAAUGCAAACACAUACAGGAGACUUCCCACUGAGGAGUGUGAGCCCACCUACACGGCUAAGAUUACUUAUUUAAAGCAGAUAUAUUAUCUCACAGCUCAAAAGCCACACUGUUCCCAACAGCUACUUGGAGCUGUCGUUGUUGAUUUACACUCAUUAGUUCAAAAACUCACUGGAUCAUUAAGGUGUUGUUUUCCUCACUGUUCCAUUAUUAGGGACACCCAAAUGUCAAUCUACUCAGCAAAAAGCACUCACUGUUGUACCGCUCUCCUGACCUCCUUUAGAAUAAUUCAUAUUAUUCAUGUUAUUGAUUAAUUGAACCAAUAUUUUAAAAAAUGUAUUCAUCACUUCAUAAGACCUAUUGGCACUGAUUUGGCAUUCCUCA
Astatotilapia calliptera (eastern happy) is the source of this 1001-nucleotide long non-coding RNA. NCBI's taxonomy places the organism in Eukaryota, Metazoa, Chordata, Actinopteri, Cichliformes, Cichlidae. The record is from Ensembl.